This 447-nucleotide ribosomal RNA is filed under the name uncultured bacterium. RNAcentral's name for it is "partial 16S ribosomal RNA". It matches the Rfam family "Bacterial small subunit ribosomal RNA", at positions 28 to 523 of the family's 1533-position model. The record is from RNAcentral.
GAUAAACGCUGGCGGUAUGCCUAAGACAUGCAAGUCGAGCGCCCCGCAAGGGGAGCGGCAGACGGGUGAGUAACGCGUGGGAAUCUACCCAUCUCUACGGAAUAACGCAUGGAAACGUGUGCUAAUACCGUAUACGUCCUUCGGGAGAAAGAUUUAUCGGAGAUGGAUGAGCCCGCGUUGGAUUAGCUAGUUGGUGGGGUAAAGGCCUACCAAGGCGACGAUCCAUAGCUGGUCUGAGAGGAUGAUCAGCCACACUGGGACUGAGACACGGCCCAGACUCCUACGGGAGGCAGCAGUGGGGAAUAUUGGACAAUGGGCGCAAGCCUGAUCCAGCCAUGCCGCGUGAGUGAUGAAGGCCCUAGGGUUGUAAAGCUCUUUCACCGGUGAAGAUAAUGACGGUAACCGGAGAAGAAGCCCCGGCUAACUUCGUGCCAGCAGCCGCCGUAA